This 132-nucleotide ribosomal RNA is filed under the name Chinchilla lanigera (long-tailed chinchilla). Lineage: Eukaryota; Metazoa; Chordata; Mammalia; Rodentia; Chinchillidae. The record is from RNAcentral.
GUCUACAGCCAUACCACCCUGAACGUGCCCCGUCUUGUCUGAUCUUGGAAGCUAAGCAGGAUAGGGCCUGGUUAGUACUUGGAUGGGAAAAUUUAUAUUCUAAUCAGAUGGAAAAUGCAGAAGAAAUGAACA